This 253-nucleotide ribosomal RNA is filed under the name uncultured bacterium. Its description in RNAcentral is "partial 16S ribosomal RNA". It matches the Rfam family "Bacterial small subunit ribosomal RNA", at positions 524 to 776 of the family's 1533-position model. The record is from RNAcentral.
UACAGAGGGGGCAAGCGUUAUUCGGAAUUAUUGGGCGUAAAGGGCGCGUAGGCGGCUUUCCAAGUGACGGGUGAAAUCCCUCGGCUUAACCGAGGAACUGCCUGUCAGACUGGAAGGCUUGAGACCGGGAGAGGUGAGUGGAAUUCCCAGUGUAGCGGUGAAAUGCGUAGAUAUUGGGAGGAACACCAGUGGCGAAGGCGGCUCACUGGACCGGAACUGACGCUGAGGCGCGAAAGCGUGGGGAGCAAACAGG